AACGAACGCUGGCGGCAGGCCUAACACAUGCAAGUCGAGCGAGGACUUCGGUUCUAGCGGCGGACGGGUUAGUAACGCGUGGGAACGUACCCUUUUCUACGGAAUAGCCUCGGGAAACUGAGAGUAAUACCGUAUACGCCCUUAGGGGGAAAGAUUUAUCGGAGAAGGAUCGGCCCGCGUUAGAUUAGAUAGUUGGUGGGGUAAUGGCCUACCAAGUCUACGAUCUAUAGCUGGUUUGAGAGGAUGAUCAGCAACACUGGGACUGAGACACGGCCCAGACUCCUACGGGAGGCAGCAGUGGGGAAUCUUAGACAAUGGGCGCAAGCCUGAUCUAGCCAUGCCGCGUGAGUGAUGAAGGCCUUAGGGUCGUAAAGCUCUUUCGCCUGUGAAGAUAAUGACUGUAGCAGGUAAAGAAACCCCGGCUAACUCCGUGCCAGCAGCCGCGGUAAUACGGAGGGGGUUAGCGUUGUUCGGAAUUACUGGGCGUAAAGCGCGCGUAGGCGGACAUUUAAGUCAGAGGUGAAAUCCCAGGGCUCAACCCUGGAACUGCCUUUGAUACUGGGUGUCUUGAGUUCGAGAGAGGUGAGUGGAAUUCCGAGUGUAGAGGUGAAAUUCGUAGAUAUUCGGAGGAACACCAGUGGCGAAGGCGGCUCACUGGCUCGAUACUGACGCUGAGGUGCGAAAGUGUGGGGAGCAAACAGGAUUAGAUACCCUGGUAGUCCACACCGUAAACGAUGAAUGCCAGUCGUCGGGCAGUAUACUGUUCGGUGACACACCUAACGGAUUAAGCAUUCCGCCUGGGGAGUACGGUCGCAAGAUUA
This 821-nucleotide ribosomal RNA is filed under the name uncultured bacterium. Its description in RNAcentral is "bacterial SSU rRNA". It matches the Rfam family "Bacterial small subunit ribosomal RNA", at positions 28 to 896 of the family's 1533-position model. The record is from RNAcentral.